AAUAUAUUUCAGAUAUAAUUUAUUUCCAGUAGAAAUUGCAACAUUAUGAGAUCUGUUUAUUAAUUGUCAUCUAGAAAAAAAAAAAUCAAACUCAAUUUGAAAGCAUCAAAACAAAAGAAAAAUAUGUUUUUUUCUGAAGUUGCUUGGCAUAUCCCAAUAUAUUUACUUUCUCAGUAGCCUGCUGUCAUCACUUCCUUUUUUUAAGAUUUUUUUUUCAUGGAAUCACACUUUUUUUUGUUUGUUUUAUAGCUCUCUUUUUCCUUGUUUCCCAGCUUCUCUAAGUUUCACUGAGUUGUAGAAGCAGAGUGAACAAAAAGAAUUGCCCUGUUCUGUCUCAGGACACUGUAUGCAGCUGGCAUUACAAAUGUCAAAGUGUAGCUUGGAAAAAAAUAUGUUUCUGUUUCCUUUAUAAAUACCAAGUAAGCUCACCGGUGGAACUAAAAUCUUUAAAAGGAAAGUGGAAUUUUCAACCAACCUUGUUCAAUUCCAAUGGACUUUUCAGUGCUUUUGUUAUAUUUGUGCCAGUAGGUUAAGCCAUAAACCUUGAUAACUGCUGUUAUUUAAAAGCAAAGCCUUCAUUAGGAAAUUAUGUAAAAUUAUGUAAAAGAAGAAAGUGACAAUAACUCUACAGAAAUAACAAAAUUUUAACUAAAGACUGUUUUCUCAAAUGUCCUUUUUCUUUACCAGACUUCCAAAUUUCUAAGUGGAAAAAAAAUUAGGCCUUAGGUGUCUGUUUGACAUCGGUGAAUUUUAUUGUGGGUAUUUAAUUAUAAAAACUUUUCUAUUGCCUAGAAAGGUUCUAAUGAUCAUAUUUUUUCUGUGGAAAGGGAAAAAAGAUAAGAUUUUUUAAGCAUGUAUUUCAAUGUUGCUUGCUAGUUAUUAAUGAAGUACAGUUAGGAAAUAUCUGGUAAAUGUGUACUUAAAGUAGAUGAAAUGAAACGUGAAAUAUAUAUGUUAAUGAGAGAGAAGGGUUUUUACCUUUCCGUUGUUGCAGUGCUUUGUGUCACCAGACUGCUCUGUUUUCCAACCCAGAACAAAGUAAAGCAACUGGUAAACAUGUCAACAGAAAACAGUAACUUAUAUUACACUUCUAAAACAAUACCAAUGUUUUCUAUUAUUUUGGACUUGGUUAUUUAUUUAUUUUUUUUAAUUUAUUUAUUGUUGUUGUUACAAUUUUGUGACUGAUCAGAGAAGAAUUUAGCAAAAGUAUUAGUCCAUAUGUAAUCUCAGUUAAUUUAUCGUUAAACAAGGUAGUAAUUUUAUGGGAAUUUUGCAUUGACACCAAAAGCAAUGUUGUCUCAAAAUACAGGAUUAUACAUAUUGUGCUGUAUGUACUUGAUAUGUACUCCAAAAUUAUGAAGAAAUCACGGUGAUUUAUUCAAAGUUUAAUUGUAUUUUGAUUUUGUCUUUUGUUUUAUAUAUUAUCUUUUGCUAUUAUAAUAUCUCUUCAGUCUUUAAUUUUCAGAAUGCCAAAACUAAAACAAAAGAAUGUACAUGAGCAUGGAAAUAACACUUGGUGAAUCUAUAUUUAUUGUUUCAUACUGCAAAUAUUUUUAUUAACAAUACUGUUAUAAUUCAGAAAUUUGCUUUUUUUAUAAACUAAAAUUACUUAUGACCUACAGAUAGAAAAAAAGGCAUGGCAUGUUGAUGUCAAAAGAGGAGGGGAGAGGAGAGGAUCCUCCAUAUUCUGUGAACUUUGCAGUAACAGUCAUAGGAACCCAUUUUUUGUUCCUUACAUGUGUGAUUAUGCUCAGUUGUUGAACUUUUUUGUUUGUUUGUUUGUUUUGUUCUUUUUUUUUUUUUUUAAUAUACAGUACAAACUUUUUGAGAAUGGAACAAUGGAACUGCCUUUAUCCCAGUUGUAACUAAACUUAAGACAGAACAUAACCUCUGGAUGAAUUUAAUUUUAGAAUACUUGCUGAUUAUAAAUGAGCAUAAGCAUAACAUAAAAUGUCUCACAUAUUAAAGGAAAAAAAAAAGUUUACAUUUCUUACUUUUACCCUGGAGAAGGCCUUUACUUUUAGGACCUUGCCCUUACACUAUCAUUUACACAUCACAUUUUACUGAGAGUGCAAGUAUUAUCACCCUGUAAGGUUACUUGCAUUUCCAUGCCCAUGUUGUAUUGUCAAGUGACAUUUAGCAGCAUUUACUUUUUUGGCUGCCAUUUCCUCAUCUUGCAUAAUACAUUUUUCUUACAUUAGAAGCUGAGGCAUAGGAAAAUUUUAAAGUUUGAGUGCACCUGUGGGAUGACAGCAUGAUAGACAUCUGUGAAAUAAAUGCAGACUUAUGGUGAGCAGGUUCAGCUGCAACCCCCUAAAAUGGCAUUUUAUAAUAUGGCAGGCUUAAAUGGUAGAGUGUUGAACAAUCACCGAAAAACAUUACAUCAUGUAAAACUGUAGUACAAGGGGGAAAAAAUGACAACAGUGUGCAGAACUGCAGCUGAUCCUGCUUGCCAUAUGGUAUGUCAUUCACAGUAAUAACACUUACAUUCCCUCAGUAAGUGCCCUUAAAUAUCAGGGAGUGAAUAAGGCAGUACACAGAUUGCAAAAGGAAUUUGUAAUCAUAUACAUUGUGAACUUUGUACUUUCAGGAAUCAUUUUACCCUUCCGUUAACAAAAUACCCUUUAAAAAUACAUCUUAGUACAUUCCCAAGGCUCAAUACUUUAAAAUCCACUUGUGCAAAUGGUUAAAAGCAAGCCCUCCCAAGUAAACAUGAAAAACAAAACAAAACAAAACAAAAAACUGUGAACAAAUAACUGCUAUCAUUCUCCCUUCCCCCUUCAGGAUACUGUGAUUUUCUCACCAAUAAAGUUUUCUUACAUUUAUAUAUUUUUUCAGUGUGUGCUGUUCUUUGUGAUCCUGAUGAAAAACCAGCUAACUGGAGUUGUUUGGAUGAAGAAUAACUUGCUUUUUAUCACAGAUAAGAAAACUGCUUAAUUGUUCAUUAUUUCUCACAAUGCAAAAUCUACAGAGCACUCAAUGCAAGUUUCAUGAAGCAACUUUGAAAUAAACAAAGGAAGUAUUUUGUCAUAUCACGUCCAUAAUUAAAUUGUGGAACUCAUUGCCACAAGAUGUUGUAGAAGCCAAAACUGUAAUUAGAUUCUUAAAAGGACUGAGGAUAGGCCCAUUGUCUAUAUUGAACACAGAAGUCUGGAGCCUUCAUUUCAGGAAAUCCCUCAGACUCUAGCUGCUGCACGAGCAUGUUAGAGAAGAGCUGUAGGUCUGUAGGCAUACCUGUUCCUCAUACUCACAUCUACUAAAGAAAGGAUGCUGGGGCAGAUGAAUCCAAUCUGCUAUGUUAUCCAAGUAUUUACAUUGGACUGAGACCAAUGUAAACUGAGUGCUGUUCAGACCCAGCACCGAUUUAUUCAGUGAUAUUCUGGGUUAUUCACUGGAUGCUGAAAUGUGGAAAAAAGAAAACAAAAAAAAAAAAAAGAAAAAAAAAAAGAAAAAAAUCCAGCUUACCAAGAUUUUAUUUUAUUUUUAUUUUUUUCCUGGCAAAACACAAAAGCAUGCAUAGUGUAAGGUAAACCCAAAUCAUUAUGUUAUUUAUUCUUCUUAGUAUCAGUGAUAGAUAUCUAUUGGAAUAGAUAGUGACUUGCUCAUCUCUAAAAACAUUCCCCCCCCAACAGGGGACAAAUUUAUGUCCCUUAUUUAUUCCAAUUUUGAUAUUGUUUACUGAUUCUAAUAUCUUCUUGUUCAUGUUCGUUUGUGUGCUGGAACCACCCAUGUUCUUUGGAAUCAUGACCAGAUGACUGGAAGCUUUUAGAUGCCCCACAUUCGGCAGCACAUUAUGCCUCAGCGGAGUGUCAGUGAGCUAGGACUCCAGGAUAUUAUCAUCUGUGGCUGUUGUCAAACGGAGGGGACCUGGAUGGUGUGAACUUGAAAUGAGACUGGGACAACAUAAAUUGAAAGGGAGAAUUGGAAGAAACACAGGUAGAUCUGGAACAAAGGAGCAUCAAAUGUAGAUGAAAACAUUGAACAAAAUGGUUCUGAAAAGUUACAUGCAAUGACUCUGCAAGUCCUGGGAGUAGUUCCACAGCAACUUUUCCAAAAAUCAAGAUACUUGGAUUCCCUUGUUAUGUCAGCCUGGAGGAUUCCUAUCUCUGUCUGUCAGAACAAGCUAAAUACCAGAGGAAGCCAGAUGAUAGAUUGGAAGGUAAGGGGAUGGGGUGGGGAGGUGUCACUUGAUAUUAAACCUGUUGUGUAUUGUGUGCUCAUGAAUAUAAGCAUAAUGGAGCAAAAACAGAAGUAAGGGUAAAGAAACUUGGAUAUAUAUCCUUAUUUCUAUCAUUCUAGGGGCUUUGCAGACAAGCUUGGCUUUUAGCUUCUGUUCUGUGGACUGCUUCAGCAUUCAAUCCACUGACAUCUAAUGUAAAAUUCAUACAGACCAGGUUUUAUAAUUACUGUCUCUCUGUUAAGCCUAUGCUCUGGCUUUUAAACUGUGGUAUCAGAUUUUCCCUUGCCCUGUUUCCUUCACUCAUGAUUCUUGUUCUCUUGGCUACAUGUUUGACAUAUCUCAGCAGCAGACGUGGUGGGUUCCCUUUUCUGUUUUGCAUCAUCCCAUGCUCUGUAAUCAGAUAAGUAUUUGCCUAACAGGUAAGCUCUGCCUAGAUAAAAGUGAUAUGAACUCCCUUCUCCAUUUUAUUCUCUUGCUGCUCUCAUCUCUUGACUCUGUGUUGUGGUUUGUAUUUUGUUUCAUUUUUACCCUGAAAUGGCUGUCAUUGCUAAGAAUUGCAAUUUGUACAAUGUUACAACCACUGAGAUGCAAAGAGAUGCAAAAGUGAGAAAUGUAGCCCAAAUUAAUCUAAUUUAUCUACCUAUCUAUAGAUAUCUAAAAUGAAAGACUUAAUUAAGACUGGAAUUGCCUUAGGUUUCUCUAUAGUUAGUACAGCAAAGUAGGCUUCUCCAGAGACAACUUCACUCUCUGGUGAGAGUGAGAGAGUCUCCAGAGAGAUUCCAUAGUCAAUUUAGAUUAUUAAAUCAGGUUUUAAAGUUACAAAACUGCAGAAGUUAGGUUGGAAGAUUGAUAUAAAUUUUGAUCUAGGUGAGAUUAAUUCCACACAUAAAAAAUGAAUAAAUAAAUCACUAUUUCUUGCUAUUUGUGGUAUUGGUAGAUCUGUAUAGAAAUGCCUGACUUACAUGGGUUUCUUCAAGCUCAUUGGUGUUAUCUGGGUAUCAAUGAAUUUCUUUCCCCAUCUUAGUUUUGGUCUUAGUGUACAGACUGCCAGUUGUGUAUAAAUGUUUUUUUCUCUUCUGACCCAAGCACUUGCCUCUCAAGAUAAAUCCAAUCAAACAAUGGAGCAUGUUUUCCAACAAAUGUUUCCAGUAGGAAUGCUGAAAUAUAGAAUCUCAUACAGAUGAGAGGGGUUUUGAUCCCCCUGACCCGAGGUGUCCUUCCUACCAGGCUUGUGACUUUCCUGCACUCUUCCAUGUCCUCGAACACCUG
Molecule: non-coding RNA, 5449 nt
Organism: Anas platyrhynchos (mallard)
Lineage: Eukaryota; Metazoa; Chordata; Aves; Anseriformes; Anatidae
Source: RefSeq, a predicted model, not a curated record